GUAAGUGUAGUUUAACAAAAACAUUAGAUUGUGAUUCUAAAAACAGGGGUUAAAAUCCCCCCACUCACC
Molecule: transfer RNA, 69 nt
Filed under: Starksia nanodes (dwarf blenny)
Lineage: Eukaryota; Metazoa; Chordata; Actinopteri; Blenniiformes; Labrisomidae
Description: tRNA-His
Rfam family: tRNA
About the family: Transfer RNA (tRNA) molecules are approximately 80 nucleotides in length.
Source: RNAcentral